RNAcentral lists this ribosomal RNA (458 nucleotides) under uncultured bacterium. Its description in RNAcentral is "bacterial SSU rRNA". It matches the Rfam family "Bacterial small subunit ribosomal RNA", at positions 33 to 507 of the family's 1533-position model. The record is from RNAcentral.
ACGCUGGCGGCGUGCCUAACACAUGCAAGUCGAACGGAGAUAUGAUUUCGGUUAUAUCUUAGUGGCGAACGGGUGAGUAACGCGUGAGCAACCUGACCUUCAGAGGGGGAUAACACUUGGAAACAGGUGCUAAUACCGCAUAAGACCACGACCCGACAUCGGGAUGCGGUCAAAGGAGCAAUCCGCUGAGGGAGGGGCUCGCGUCCCAUUAGAUAGAUGGCGGGUAACGGCCCACCAUGUCGACGAUGGGUAGCCGAGCUGAGAGGCUGAUCGGCCACACUGGAACUGAGACACGGUCCAGACUCCUACGGGAGGCAGCAGUGGGGAAUAUUGGCAAUGGGCGCAAGCCUGACCCAGCAACGCCGCGUGAGGGAAGAAGGCCUUCGGGUUGUAAACCUCUGUCCUUGGUGACGAAACAAAUGACGGUAGCCAAGGAGGAAGCCCCGGCUAACUACGUG